RNAcentral lists this ribosomal RNA (83 nucleotides) under Bifidobacterium catenulatum subsp. kashiwanohense. Lineage: Bacteria; Bacillati; Actinomycetota; Actinomycetes; Bifidobacteriales; Bifidobacteriaceae. The record is from RNAcentral.
UGCGGUGGUCAUGGCCCAGGUGAGACGCCCGGUCCCUUUCCGAACCCGGAAGCUAAGGCCUGGCUGCGGCGAUGGUACUGCAC